UAGGGAAUCUUCGGCAAUGGACGGAAGUCUGACCGAGCAACGCCGCGUGAGUGAAGAAGGUUUUCGGAUCGUAAAGCUCUGUUGUAAGAGAAGAACGAGUGUGAGAGUGGAAAGUUCACACUGUGACGGUAUCUUACCAGAAAGGGACGGCUAACUACGUGCCAGCAGCCGCGGUAAUACGUAGGUCCCGAGCGUUGUCCGGAUUUAUUGGGCGUAAAGCGAGCGCAGGCGGUUAGAUAAGUCUGAAGUUAAAGGCUGUGGCUUAACCAUAGUACGCUUUGGAAACUGUUUAACUUGAGUGCAAGAGGGGAGAGUGGAAUUCCAUGUGUAGCGGUGAAAUGCGUAGAUAUAUGGAGGAACACCGGUGGCGAAAGCGGCUCUCUGGCUUGUAACUGACGCUGAGGCUCGAAAGCGUGGGGAGCAAACAGGAUUAGAUACCCUGGUAGUCCACGCCGUANCGAUGAGUGCUAGGUGUUAGACCCUUUCCGGGGUUUAGUGCCGCAGCUAACGCAUUAAGCACUCCGCCUGGGGAGUACGACCGCAAGGUU
This 548-nucleotide ribosomal RNA is filed under the name uncultured bacterium. RNAcentral's name for it is "bacterial SSU rRNA". It matches the Rfam family "Bacterial small subunit ribosomal RNA", at positions 355 to 895 of the family's 1533-position model. The record is from RNAcentral.